This 341-nucleotide unclassified non-coding RNA is filed under the name soil metagenome. RNAcentral describes it as "partial contains 5.8S ribosomal RNA, internal transcribed spacer 2, and large subunit ribosomal RNA". The stretch from base 1 to 120 matches the Rfam family "5.8S ribosomal RNA", at positions 35 to 154 of the family's 154-position model. The record is from RNAcentral.
GAUGAAGAACGUAGCGAAAUGCGAUCAGUAGUGUGAAUUGCAGAAUUCAGUGAAUCAUCGAAUCUUUGAACGCACAUUGCGCCCUUUGGUAUUCCAAAGGGCAUGCCUGUUCGAGCGUCAUUUGUACCCUCAAGCUUUGCUUGGUGUUGGGCGUCUUGUCUCUAGCUUUGCUGGAGACUCGCCUUAAAGUAAUUGGCAGCCGGCCUACUGGUUUCGGAGCGCAGCACAAGUCGCACUCUCUAUCAGCAAAGGUCUAGCAUCCAUUAAGCCUUUUUUUCAACUUUUGACCUCGGAUCAGGUAGGGAUACCCGCUGAACUUAAGCAUAUCAAUAAGCGGAGGA